UCUCUCUUGGUAUAUCGGUAGAACACAACCCUGUCAUUGAAUCUGAUGAUCAAGCACGGUUGAGAGCUGGGUUCGACUCCCAGAGGGAGAG
Molecule: non-coding RNA, 91 nt
Organism: Tulasnella sp. 419
Lineage: Eukaryota; Fungi; Basidiomycota; Agaricomycetes; Cantharellales; Tulasnellaceae
Source: the annotation of a GenBank genome assembly